This 543-nucleotide ribosomal RNA is filed under the name uncultured archaeon. RNAcentral describes it as "bacterial SSU rRNA". It matches the Rfam family "Archaeal small subunit ribosomal RNA", at positions 327 to 874 of the family's 1478-position model. The record is from RNAcentral.
GGGGUGCAGCAGGCGCGAAAACUUUGCAAUGCGGGAAACCGUGACAAGGGAACUCUGAGUGCCCGUUAAAUCGGGCUGUCCAUCGGUUUAAAUAACCGGUGAAGAAAGGGCUGGGCAAGACCGGUGCCAGCCGCCGCGGUAAUACCGGCGGCUCGAGUGGUGGCCACUAUUACUGGGCUUAAAGCGUUCGUAGCUGGUUUGUUAAGUCUCUGGGGAAAUCUUCCGGCUUAACCGGAAGGCGUCUCAGGGAUACUGGCAGACUAGGGACCGGGAGAGGUGAGAGGUACUCCAGGGGUAGGAGUGAAAUCCUGUAAUCCUUGGGGGACCACCUGUGGCGAAGGCGUCUCACCAGAACGGCUCCGACAGUGAGGGACGAAAGCUGGGGGAGCAAACCGGAUUAGAUACCCGGGUAGUCCCAGCUGUAAACGAUGCGCGUUAGGUGUAUCGGUGACCACGAGUCACCGAGGUGCCGAAGAGAAAUCGUGAAACGUGCCGCCUGGGAAGUACGGUCGCAAGGCUGAAACUUAAAGGAAUUGGCGGGGG